Molecule: ribosomal RNA, 26 nt
Filed under: Manilkara hoshinoi
Lineage: Eukaryota; Viridiplantae; Streptophyta; Magnoliopsida; Ericales; Sapotaceae
Also listed under: 1 other name
Description: partial 26S ribosomal RNA
Source: RNAcentral
UCGUGACCCCAGGUCAGGCGGGAUUA